RNAcentral lists this unclassified non-coding RNA (2957 nucleotides) under Homarus americanus (American lobster). RNAcentral's name for it is "syntaxin-1A-like, transcript variant X1". Lineage: Eukaryota; Metazoa; Arthropoda; Malacostraca; Decapoda; Nephropidae. The record is from RNAcentral.
ACCAGUCACGUACAGUACAAGAUCAGCCAUGUACAGUACAGGACCAGUCACGUACAGUACAGAACUAGCCAUGUACAGUACAGGACCAUCCAUGUACAGUACAGGACCAGCCACGUACAGUACAGGACCAGCCACGUACAGUACAGCAUCAGCCACGUACAAGAUAAACCAUGUACAAGGUGGAGGAGAUACGAGAGAUGAUAGAGAAGAUUCAAAACAAUGUAGAAGAGGUGAAAAAGAAGCACAGCGAGAUCCUCUCGGCGCCACAGACCGACGAAAAGGUGAAGCAGGAGCUAGAUGACAUGAUGACAGACAUCAAAAAGACGGCCAACAGAGUCAGAGCUAAACUUAAAGUAAUUGAGCAAAAUAUUGAGUCCGAAGAACAUGUGAGUAAGGCGAGUGCGGACUUAAGGAUAAAGAAGACUCAACACUCUACACUGAGUCGCAAGUUUGUGGAGGUGAUGACCGAGUACAACCGCACUCAAACCGACUACCGUGAACGUUGCAAGGGCAGGAUACAGAGGCAGCUUGAAAUUACCGGGCGCAAUACUACUAGUGACGAGUUGGAAGAUAUGUUAGAGCAGGGCAACCCAGCUGUCUUCACACAAGGGAUCAUCAUGGAGACCCAGCAAGCAAAACAGACUUUGGCAGACAUCGAGGCUCGACAUGCAGACAUCGUCAAGUUGGAGACUUCCAUCAGAGAGUUGCAUGAUAUGUUCAUGGAUAUGGCCAUGUUGGUGGAGAGUCAGGGGGAGAUGAUUGAUAGGAUUGAAUAUCACGUAGAUCAGUCCGUCGAAUAUGUCGGCAAAGCUAUGGAGGACACUAAAAAGGCACUUAAGUAUCAAAGCAAAGCACGUAAGAAGAAGAUAAUGAUCAUGGUGUGUGUGUCGGUUCUGUUAGUUGUCCUGAGUAUCUCCGGCGCCAAAUACUUGAAACUAAUCUAACCUUCUACUGCUUCGUUGUAACUAAAUUAAUAACUCUACUACCUUCUACUGGUAAUGAGCCUCCAGUACAUGCUAGAUCUUCAAUGAAAGGCGCGUCUCUCUCCCUCUCCUUCCUGAUGUUCCAGUUUUGUUACCUGUACAUAGUGUAGCCAGCCUCGAUGGUUAGACCUGUCAUCUCUCAGCACCAGACACCGUAGCAUUACAUAAACACGCUGUGGAUUCAUAAUUUUAUUUUAUAUAUGGAGUAAUACUUUACAGUUCAGUCAUUGGAGAUAAAGUACUGUAAAGCAAUUAAAAGAAAAGAUCUCCUUGUAAUAAGUAUGUUUUACUUUGGCACAUGCUAAUCAAAGGUUUCUGUGGGGACUGUGAUUGGAUUAAGUCAAGUUUUUAAUUUUAAGGUUCAAGUCUGACUUCUAUGCACUAUGCAAAUACAGUAUAUACAGUACUGUACUAUUAUGAUGUGUGCAUGGUUUUGAUGAAUGAUUAUAUAGAAUUGUAAAUCUGUUACAGUUUUGUUAACACAAGUUUAGUAGUUGUCAAUAACUAGCUGAAAAUAUUUGCUUAUUUAUUGUCAUUGAAAGUACUUGAUUACCAUUAAAAGCUAAUCUAUGACAGUCAUCUGUAAACAGAUGUCUCAACAAUGGACAUACAUUUGUUUAGAAUGACACAAACAUGGAUGAAAUGUGAAGUCUGUACGGAAGUCUGAUGCUGGGAGAGCCCCAGAUGUCUCCAACAUAUACGGUCACCAAGGCAACUAAAUAUAUAUUUCACUGAUACUGUAUGUCCCAAAUUCAUUUUGAUUCAGCUCAUUAGGUGAAAACCAUAGGCAUAAUUGAAAAUAUGAGAAACUUUUUCACCAAGAUUGUAGAUAUUCCCCAAAUCUUGAAUGUGUUAUAUAAUUGGAAAAUGUCAGUAAAAUAUGUAUGGAAAAUAUCACAUAAUCAGAAUUUAUAGCAAAAAAACAAAAAACAUUUAUAUAAUUUGAAAAAUAAUGAAACUCCAUUAAGUUACAUAUGACUGACACUAGGUGUGGCUAUUGACUUUAUUAUGGCCAGAUAUGUAUUACCAAUAUACUUCACAAUUUGUAAAUUGGGAGUAAUAGCCUUUUUAAAGUGUACAUGGGUGCUUAACAGUACAGUACUUGGUAAUAAAAGUUGGGACUUGCAGUAUUCCCUUGUGGAGAAACGUGUUGCUGGCCGCAUAUGUGAGUGGCAUUCAGAGUAAGAAGUACAGAAGGUACAGUAUAGGUAACAUUUCCAGCUUUAACAUUCUAGGAUCUAUAGUUAAUGUUAAAAUUGAGAUUGAUGCACCAUCAUCCUCACUUUACUAUUGUUUUUACACUGUAGAUUGCAAUUGUAUAAAAUGUAUUUAUUGUUUGUAUAUGAUAUGAUAUUUUUUUUUCUGAGCGGACCAUGCUAGUUACUUGUAUGUUGAAAAUGUUAAAAGAUAGUGACAGCCCGUCUGCUUUUCACGAAACCGAAGCUUCAUAUAUUUCAACGACUUAAUGUCUGUGGUAGUGUAUUGUACUGCUGGGAGGCCAUGAUAUAAUAAUUAUUGGUGAUACCUGUACUCUAUUAGAUUAGAUCAUUCAUCAGUGCUAGUCAUACUCUCAAGUGUUGGUAAUUGUGGAGGUAUCGGUAAAUCUAAAGGAAUUCCUUCUGUUGUAGAUGCAUGGAUUUUUCAUCAGAAUUUAGUAUUUGAAAUAGACAGGUCAUAAAUACAAGGUAAUAAAUAUUACAGUAGAGUUGGUACACUAAUUUAUCAAUACUGUACAUAAAGUCACUUGAGUUAUGAGUUCAAUAACUAAAAUUUCAUCCCCUUAAUAAAUGGAGUAUGAUAAAAAGGUCUCCCAGCUUACAAAUUUGUUUUGGGGAAUCAGAUUACAGUUUUAUCUUCUUGGUUAAAUUGUUGGCAGUUGACCAGUUGCUAGGGCUGGCUUGUCUGGGGAAGUAGAAAAAGGUUUGCAGUAAACUUAGAGGAAAAUGCAUUUUAUGGGUCAAAGGCUUAUACAGU